CCGUACUAGUUGGGGAGUUAGCGGUGCCCUGAAUCUGCAAUCCGCUGUAGCAGAGCUGAAUGAUUGUGUGCGGCGUAGAUUUUUGUUUGAUGAGUAUGGAGUUUUGAUGUUGAAAUCAAGGUCCCAUGCAACGUUUUCCCGUGAACCAUGUCAGAGCCUGACGGCAGCAUCAUUAAGCGGACCAAAGCGUGUGCCAUGGGGAAACUUUGGUGGAGUCAACACUUCAUGCGGCUGGA
This 236-nucleotide signal recognition particle RNA is filed under the name human gut metagenome. RNAcentral's name for it is "Bacterial large signal recognition particle RNA". It matches the Rfam family "Bacterial large signal recognition particle RNA". Rfam says of the family: The signal recognition particle (SRP) is a universally conserved ribonucleoprotein involved in the co-translational targeting of proteins to membranes. Archaeal SRP consists of a 7S RNA and homologues of the eukaryotic SRP19 and SRP54 proteins. The record is from RNAcentral.